This 78-nucleotide transfer RNA is filed under the name Candidatus Odinarchaeota archaeon. Its description in RNAcentral is "tRNA-Arg". It matches the Rfam family "tRNA". Rfam says of the family: Transfer RNA (tRNA) molecules are approximately 80 nucleotides in length. Their secondary structure includes four short double-helical elements and three loops (D, anti-codon, and T loops). The record is from RNAcentral. Lineage: Archaea; Promethearchaeati; Candidatus Odinarchaeota. RNAcentral also lists the same sequence under 3 other names.
GGGGCCGUAGUCUAGCCUGGAUAAGGCACCAGCCUGCGGAGUUGGUUAUCCCCGGUUCAAAUCCGGGCGGUCCCGCCA